UCCAUAUUGAUCGCUCCUAACACGUUCGGGGUUGUUAUGGGGACCCCCUCGAUAAAUCGCGUAGUGUUAAGACUUGUCCGGCAGGACCCAACAUUGGUGUUAAUUUGCUAAUCACUUAAUAAUAAUCUGCAUAGGGAAUGAUCACCCCGAGGAUCUUUAAUCAACAACCCGGGCCAGUGCUCCUCAUGAGUGUUGGUCCAAAAUGGACAGACUGCGGGGGCCACCACAGGGAAACUUGAGGUUUGGCUCCU
This 251-nucleotide long non-coding RNA is filed under the name Hordeum vulgare. Its description in RNAcentral is "long non-coding RNA (HVUL_LNC010142)". The record is from RNAcentral. Lineage: Eukaryota; Viridiplantae; Streptophyta; Magnoliopsida; Poales; Poaceae.